GCUAAACGCGAAGAACCUUACCUGGCCUUGACAUGUCCGGAAUUCUGCAGAGAUGCGGAAGUGCCUUCGGGAAUCGGAACACAGGUGCUGCAUGGCUGUCGUCAGCUCGUGUCGUGAGAUGUUGGGUUAAGUCCCGCAACGAGCGCAACCCUUAUCGUAUGUUGCCAACAUUUAGUUGGGCACUCAUGCGAGACUGCCGGUGACAAGCCGGAGGAAGGCGGGGACGACGUCAAGUCAUCAUGGCCCUUACGUGUGGGGCUAGAAACGUGCUACAAUGGUGGUGACAGUGAGCAGCGAGGUCGCGAGGCCAAGCUAAUCUCUAAAAGCCAUCUCAGUUCAGAUUGUAGUCUGCAACUCGACUACAUGAAGUUGGAAUCGCUAGUAAUCGCAAAUCAGCAUGUUGCGGUGAAUACGUUCCCGGGUCUUGUACACACCG
This 436-nucleotide ribosomal RNA is filed under the name uncultured bacterium. RNAcentral describes it as "bacterial SSU rRNA". It matches the Rfam family "Bacterial small subunit ribosomal RNA", at positions 954 to 1392 of the family's 1533-position model. The record is from RNAcentral.